Molecule: long non-coding RNA, 284 nt
Filed under: Zonotrichia albicollis (white-throated sparrow)
Lineage: Eukaryota; Metazoa; Chordata; Aves; Passeriformes; Passerellidae
Description: lncRNA (ENSZALG00000007792.1)
Source: RNAcentral
CUCCCAGUUUGAUCCCAGUCCCCUCCCAGUGUUCACAGUAACCCCAGUCCAUCCCAGUAUCCCCCAGUUCCUCCCCAGUCCAUCCCAGUAUAUCCCAGUUCCCUCCCAGUCCAUCCCAGUCCCUCCCAGUUCCCUCCCAGUUCCAUCCCAGUUUAUCCCAGUCCCUCCCAGUUUAUCCCAGUUCCCUCCCAGUUUAUCCCAGUCCAUCCCAGUCCCUCCCAGUUUAUCCCAGUCCAUCUCAGUUUAAUCCCAGUCCCUCCCAGUCCAUCCCAGUCCCUCCCAGU